RNAcentral lists this ribosomal RNA (864 nucleotides) under Salmonella enterica. RNAcentral describes it as "partial 23S ribosomal RNA". It matches the Rfam family "Bacterial large subunit ribosomal RNA", at positions 2070 to 2925 of the family's 2925-position model. RNAcentral also lists the same sequence under 1 other name. The record is from RNAcentral. Lineage: Bacteria; Pseudomonadati; Pseudomonadota; Gammaproteobacteria; Enterobacterales; Enterobacteriaceae.
CCGCGGCAAGACGGAAAGACCCCGUGAACCUUUACUAUAGCUUGACACUGAACAUUGAGCCUUGAUGUGUAGGAUAGGUGGGAGGCUUUGAAGUGUGGACGCCAGUCUGCAUGGAGCCGACCUUGAAAUACCACCCUUUAAUGUUUGAUGUUCUAACGUGGACCCGUGAUCCGGGUUGCGGACAGUGUCUGGUGGGUAGUUUGACUGGGGCGGUCUCCUCCUAAAGAGUAACGGAGGAGCACGAAGGUUGGCUAAUCCUGGUCGGACAUCAGGAGGUUAGUGCAAUGGCAUAAGCCAGCUUGACUGCGAGCGUGACGGCGCGAGCAGGUGCGAAAGCAGGUCAUAGUGAUCCGGUGGUUCUGAAUGGAAGGGCCAUCGCUCAACGGAUAAAAGGUACUCCGGGGAUAACAGGCUGAUACCGCCCAAGAGUUCAUAUCGACGGCGGUGUUUGGCACCUCGAUGUCGGCUCAUCACAUCCUGGGGCUGAAGUAGGUCCCAAGGGUAUGGCUGUUCGCCAUUUAAAGUGGUACGCGAGCUGGGUUUAGAACGUCGUGAGACAGUUCGGUCCCUAUCUGCCGUGGGCGCUGGAGAACUGAGGGGGGCUGCUCCUAGUACGAGAGGACCGGAGUGGACGCAUCACUGGUGUUCGGGUUGUCAUGCCAAUGGCACUGCCCGGUAGCUAAAUGCGGAAGAGAUAAGUGCUGAAAGCAUCUAAGCACGAAACUUGCCCCGAGAUGAGUUCUCCCUGAGACUUUAGGUCUCCUGAAGGAACGUUGAAGACGACGACGUUGAUAGGCCGGGUGUGUAAGCGCAGCGAUGCGUUGAGCUAACCGGUACUAAUGAACCGUGAGGCUUAACCUUACA